RNAcentral lists this ribosomal RNA (224 nucleotides) under uncultured bacterium. RNAcentral describes it as "partial 16S ribosomal RNA". It matches the Rfam family "Bacterial small subunit ribosomal RNA", at positions 524 to 746 of the family's 1533-position model. The record is from RNAcentral.
GACAGAGGGUGCAAACGUUGCUCGGAAUCACUGGGCGUAAAGGGCGUGUAGGCGGGAAUGUAAGUCGGGCGUGAAAUCCCUAGGCUCAACCUAGGAACUGCACUCGAAACUGCGUUUCUUGAGUACUGGAGAGGAAAGCGGAAUACCUGGUGUAGAGGUGAAAUUCGUAGAUAUCAGGUGGAACACCAAGCGGCGAAGGCGGCUUUCUGGACAGUAACUGACGC